RNAcentral lists this ribosomal RNA (448 nucleotides) under uncultured bacterium. Its description in RNAcentral is "SSU rRNA". It matches the Rfam family "Bacterial small subunit ribosomal RNA", at positions 26 to 518 of the family's 1533-position model. The record is from RNAcentral.
AGGACGAACGCUGGCGGCAGGCCUAACACAUGCAAGUCGAGCGCCCGUAGCAAUACGGGAGCGGCAGACGGGAUAGUAACACGUGGGAACGCGCCCUUCGGUUCGGAAUAACUCAGGGAAACUUGAGCUAAUACCGAAUACGCCUUUACGGGGAAAGAUUUAUUGCCGAAGGAACGGCCCGCGUCCGAUUAGCUAGUUGGUGAGGUAAUGGCUCACCAAGGCUACGAUCGGUAGCUGGUCUGAGAGGAUGACCAGCAUCACUGGGACUGAGACACGGCCCAGACUCCUACGGGAGGCAGCAGUGGGGAAUAUUGGACAAUGGGCGAAAGCCUGAUCCAGCAAUGCCGCGUGUGUGAAGAAGGUCUUCGGGAUUGUAAAGCACUUUCGACGGGGACGAUGAUGACGGUACCCGUAGAAGAGCCCCGGCUAACUUCGCGCCAGCAGCCGC